UUGUAUCUGUUGUGUUCGUGAUUGGUUAUAUUCCCUGAGCCGAUUAAAAACAACAUUAGGAAAUGAGAUAGCUGACUAUUGUGCAAGCCCGCCUUGAAGUGGGAAACCUACGGGAGGCUUCGAAAUUCCGCCUUGAGCCAGAUGGUUUCAGGUUGCUUCCAACACGGCACAAUGGACUUUUA
RNAcentral lists this non-coding RNA (182 nucleotides) under Gammaproteobacteria bacterium. RNAcentral's name for it is "6S RNA". It matches the Rfam family "6S / SsrS RNA". Rfam says of the family: E. coli 6S RNA was the first non coding RNA to be sequenced, but its function was unknown until recently. It consists of 184 nucleotides that fold into an extended hairpin structure with a large single-stranded internal bulge. The 6S RNA specifically associates with RNA polymerase holoenzyme containing the sigma70 specificity factor. The record is from RNAcentral. Lineage: Bacteria; Pseudomonadati; Pseudomonadota; Gammaproteobacteria.